UACGUAGGGGGCAAGCGUUGUCCGGAAUUACUGGGCGUAAAGAGUACGUAGGCGGUUUGUUAAGUUAGAUGUGAAAGUUUGCAGCUCAACUGUAAAAGUGCAUUUAAAACUGGCAGACUUGAGUCUCGGAGAGGUAAGCGGAAUUCCUAGUGUAGCGGUGAAAUGCGUAGAGAUUAGGAAGAACACCGGUGGCGAAGGCGGCUUACUGGACGAGUACUGACGCUCAGGUACGAAAGCGUGGGGAGCAAACAGG
Molecule: ribosomal RNA, 253 nt
Filed under: uncultured bacterium
Lineage: Bacteria
Description: partial 16S ribosomal RNA
Rfam family: Bacterial small subunit ribosomal RNA
Source: RNAcentral